Lonchura striata (white-rumped munia) is the source of this 1627-nucleotide long non-coding RNA. The record is from Ensembl. Lineage: Eukaryota; Metazoa; Chordata; Aves; Passeriformes; Estrildidae.
UUCUAUUUUGGAUAAGGUACCGGGUCAGUUUUGGGGAAAAAGGUGGGACUCCCAACUGCCAUCCAUGCUUCAAAUUCUCAGCGUCAUUUCAGAAAAAGAAAACCGAGCUCUACUCGAUUGUAGAUCAGAAAUUGAUCAUCCCCCACCCCACCUCUUCUGACUGAUACAAUUUCAAGUUACAACUCUGCUCAACUUCAUUAUCUGUAAGAUCUUUCUUGUGGUUUCCAUUACAUCUCGGCAGACGCUGCUCUUUGCAAUAUGGGGAUCCUAUAGCUCAAUUACUCCACCAAAUUAACCCUUAGCGUCACCCACAGAAGUCGCUACCCUCACCCGAGCAUUCCCAACUUUCGAAGGCGACACGAAACCUUUGCAGGUAAGGUCCUGGAGACCUCCCGAUAGCCCUUCAGAAGGGCCACGAUUCCAGCUGCACGGGGGGGCCGGCACCGCGGCCAAGGCGACAUCGCGGCGGGCAACGCCGCCGCCGUCGGGAGAAAUUCCGGGAGAUCCCUGACGCGUCCUAGCCAGAAGCCACCCUGGCAGUUCGGGUCCCUCCGCACUCCCAGCGAUCCCUGGAGCGGGCCGGGCAGGGGUCUCCGGCUCGGCCGGGCCACCCUCCUUCCCUCAGCGCCGGCGCUGGGGAGGCGGGAGAGCGGCAGCCGCGCCCGCCCGGAUCGCCUCUCGCCCAGCGGCGACCGCGGCUCCCGGCGAACGCGCCUUCUUCCGCUGCCAGGGCUGUGACCUUAAGAAACUUGGUAAGGGAAUGAAAGGGAGGGACUUUGCCGGAGCCCAUUCUCGGCUUCUGAUCCCUCCUGACGCGCCGGAGCCCAAAGGGAAAACAAGGAAACAAAACCCUGGCCGGCAUCGAGAGCCCCGCACCCCUCCCGAGCGGCGGUACCUGUCCGGCGGCGGGGCGGCCGGCGCGGCACUUUCCCCCUCGGUGUGCGGGAGGCGCUCGGCGGCGGACGAGCUGCUAUUUAUAGUCCGGAGCCUCCAACAGCGCGACGGACGGCGAGAGGAAAUGAAGAGCCGGGCAGCCGGAGCCGAGCCUCCCCGCCGCCAAGGAGAGAUAAAUUCUGGUAUUUGAAGCUUCAAUCAAUCCUUUUGAGACUACGUGUGCGUUAUUGCAGGACGCUGUCUGGGAUUUGAGCAGCAUAAGUCACUCCUACACCGUUACUCUCCAAGCAACUGAAGUUAAUACAGAUUAGAUAGUUAUAUUAACCUACUCAAUAUAAUUUGUUUCAGAGUUGGAUUUUUAGUGUUUCCUGUGUUGUAAUAACUGCAGUUAUUACAGGUACCAGCACAAAGCCUUACAAAGCCUUACAGUGAUCUGUGCAAAGCAAGAUUGAUUCAGCUUCAAGAGCUUGAAGUCAAAACAGAUACAAAACUGGGAGCAGAGACACAAAGAUGGGAACUAAACAAAUAGCAUUAUAAGCGACACAGAAUUGAAAGGAAAAUGCUGAGAAGGCACAAGAGAUAUUUGACCUUGUCCAAACAUCUAAACAAAGUAAUACACAAAAAUCUAGCUUGGUGGAACUACCCACUUACAUAAAGAUACUCAUGCAUAAAUGUUUAAAUAAGACUCAUAUUGAACGAAUCAUCAUUGUGAAGUUAAACUACCUUUUCAAUU